RNAcentral lists this ribosomal RNA (646 nucleotides) under Klebsiella terrigena. RNAcentral describes it as "bacterial SSU rRNA". It matches the Rfam family "Bacterial small subunit ribosomal RNA", at positions 80 to 723 of the family's 1533-position model. The record is from RNAcentral. Lineage: Bacteria; Pseudomonadati; Pseudomonadota; Gammaproteobacteria; Enterobacterales; Enterobacteriaceae.
UCUUUGGGUGACGAGCGGCGGACGGGUGAGUAAUGUCUGGGAAACUGCCUGAUGGAGGGGGAUAACUACUGGAAACGGUAGCUAAUACCGCAUAACGUCGCAAGACCAAAGUGGGGGACCUUCGGGCCUCAUGCCAUCAGAUGUGCCCAGAUGGGAUUAGCUAGUAGGUGAGGUAAUGGCUCACCUAGGCGACGAUCCCUAGCUGGUCUGAGAGGAUGACCAGCCACACUGGAACUGAGACACGGUCCAGACUCCUACGGGAGGCAGCAGUGGGGAAUAUUGCACAAUGGGCGCAAGCCUGAUGCAGCCAUGCCGCGUGUAUGAAGAAGGCCUUCGGGUUGUAAAGUACUUUCAGCGAGGAGGAAGGCAUUAAGGUUAAUAACCUUGUCGAUUGACGUUACUCGCAGAAGAAGCACCGGCUAACUCCGUGCCAGCAGCCGCGGUAAUACGGAGGGUGCAAGCGUUAAUCGGAAUUACUGGGCGUAAAGCGCACGCAGGCGGUCUGUCAAGUCGGAUGUGAAAUCCCCGGGCUCAACCUGGGAACUGCAUCCGAAACUGGCAGGCUAGAGUCUUGUAGAGGGGGGUAGAAUUCCAGGUGUAGCGGUGAAAUGCGUAGAGAUCUGGAGGAAUACCGGUGGCGAAGGCG